This 417-nucleotide ribosomal RNA is filed under the name Rhodococcoides fascians. Its description in RNAcentral is "bacterial SSU rRNA". It matches the Rfam family "Bacterial small subunit ribosomal RNA", at positions 28 to 449 of the family's 1533-position model. Lineage: Bacteria; Bacillati; Actinomycetota; Actinomycetes; Mycobacteriales; Nocardiaceae. The record is from RNAcentral.
GACGAACGCUGGCGGCGUGCUUAACACAUGCAAGUCGAGCGGUAAGGCCUUUCGGGGUACACGAGCGGCGAACGGGUGAGUAACACGUGGGUGAUCUGCCCUGCACUCUGGGAUAAGCUUGGGAAACUGGGUCUAAUACCGGAUAUGACCACAUGCCGCAUGGUGUGUGGUGGAAAGAUUUAUCGGUGCAGGAUGGGCCCGCGGCCUAUCAGCUUGUUGGUGGGGUAAUGGCCUACCAAGGCGACGACGGGUAGCCGACCUGAGAGGGUGACCGGCCACACUGGGACUGAGACACGGCCCAGACUCCUACGGGAGGCAGCAGUGGGGAAUAUUGCACAAUGGGCGGAAGCCUGAUGCAGCGACGCCGCGUGAGGGAUGAAGGCCUUCGGGUUGUAAACCUCUUUCAGCAGGGACGAA